UUGAAAGAAACCGCCAUGACUCAGGAGAAGCAGCGAUGGCGGACACCCAGUGGCAACGGUGGUUUUCUACAAAUUGAGGACAAGCUCCUCCAUAUCCACAACUUCCACUCACUUGAAGUCCCAUCAUUAGCUCGGCCUGCUGGAGCUCCCACACCAGCCCACAGAAACCACCGUAAGUGUCGCGGGUUGGAGAAGGUCCCGGCACUGGUCAACCUCAGAAGGGAGAAGGGGCAGAAGAAGAGGAGCAGUCUGAGCUACAGCAGCUAUUAUGAACCGAACAAUGGAGGGAGACCAGUUAUUCCAAAGCUGCAUUUAAUGGCUGCUCACCUUGCACAGCUAUCUCUCUUCAAAAUCAACUACAACGCAACAUGCAUUUUCUGAAGAAUUCAAGAGGCAGGCAGAUCAACGCUAUUAAACAGCAUCAUUUUGAAGUCUAGUGGCAGACAUUAAGAAUCCUGGACCAUCUGUACUGUUAUCCUGUUUCUUAGAGUUCUUGGCCAGUUGCACUUUUAACUAUAUAUUUAAAAAUGCAGAUUGAUGGUUAGAAACGAUCUCAAAGAAUUUUUGUUCAUAAAAUCUUCUUUUUGAGAAACAUGUUCUCAUAUGUCCUGUGUACUCAAUAUAGAUAAGUUCUCCCAAAAAUAGCUUCAAAACUAGCUCAAGUAAAC
Molecule: long non-coding RNA, 668 nt
Filed under: Equus caballus (horse)
Lineage: Eukaryota; Metazoa; Chordata; Mammalia; Perissodactyla; Equidae
Description: lncRNA (ENSECAG00000037016.3)
Source: RNAcentral